This 253-nucleotide ribosomal RNA is filed under the name uncultured bacterium. RNAcentral's name for it is "partial 16S ribosomal RNA". It matches the Rfam family "Bacterial small subunit ribosomal RNA", at positions 524 to 776 of the family's 1533-position model. The record is from RNAcentral.
UACGUAGGGUGCAAGCGUUGUCCGGAAUUAUUGGGCGUAAAGAGCUCGUAGGCGGUUCGUCGCGUCGGCUGUGAAAUCCCGAGGCUCAACCUCGGGUCUGCAGUCGAUACGGGCGGACUGGAGUUCGGCAGGGGAGACUGGAAUUCCUGGUGUAGCGGUGAAAUGCGCAGAUAUCAGGAGGAACACCGGUGGCGAAGGCGGAUCUCUGGGCCUGUUCUGACGCUGAGGCGCGAAAGCUAGGGGAGCGAACAGG